This 14766-nucleotide long non-coding RNA is filed under the name Triticum aestivum (bread wheat). Its description in RNAcentral is "long non-coding RNA (TAES_LNC021806)". The stretch from base 8194 to 8280 matches the Rfam family "MIR1120/MIR1122 microRNA precursor family". Lineage: Eukaryota; Viridiplantae; Streptophyta; Magnoliopsida; Poales; Poaceae. The record is from RNAcentral.
GUUGUAUACAAAGUUAUCUGAACGCCAUUUAUUCAAGUCUGCUUGAGUUCCUAUCAAGUACUCAAGAAAUGUCUCUACUCUCUGACAUAAUUUCAGAACGCAACAAUUUUACUCUUCUUCCUAGAAUAUUAAGUUAGCUAUUGCUACUUACUACAUUUCAGAUCUGAAAUAUGCUUGACAUAUAUGACUGCAAGUAGUCUCUUUGUCCAGGAUUCUCAAUAUGAUGUACACUCUUUGACUUCCAAGCAAGUUUUUGCACCUGAUCAAAGCAUUAACAAUGAAGUCAUAACCACGAGAUACCUCUACUAAAAGUUGUUCGCUAAGUGAAAUUGCAAAGUUGAGAAUACUAUGAAAGAACCCCAACCAUAUGCUCACCCGGUUGUAAUAGAUUGCAUAAGAAAUAGAAUGAUGCAUCUCCAGACAUUUUACAAAAGAGGCACAAUCCACAAAUACAAUGCAUAGUUCUCCUACAUGUUACUAUUUUUACAAUUGAACGAUGAGUUAUUCAUAGAAACGUAAUAAACUUUAUGUAGUUAAAAUAUUCACAUGUUACGGUUGCUAUUACACAUAAACAUUCAUCCUGUACAUUACUACUAUGAAUUCCCGCAGCAACGCGCGGGGUGUCAUCUAGUUAAUAGAGUGAGUGUGGCCUAUACUGCACAUUCCAGUACUUUAGCAAUUUAGUUCAUAGUAAGCUUGUUAGAGUACGUAAUGGCCUAAUGGGUCUGGGCCGGCGGUAUAACCCGUUACUCUUAGGGUUAAUUAGAGAUAAAAGUCGCCUGCUUGGGAAUCAAGUAAACCUCUCUAUAUAAGAAGAGAAAAUGUAUCAAUCUAAUCAAGCAAGAAGCAAUCAUAUUUGCUCGGCUUCCUUAGGAAGCCGAGAGACCUAACCCUAGCCGCCGCUGCUCUCGUCAUCCCUCCUUCCACCCCUACAACCUGAGAGGAUGCUCUGGUAUGGAUCUGGUUCAUACCAAUUUGGUAUCAACUUUCCCGGGUUCAAUCAUGUCCAGCCCUCCACCGAGUUCUUCCCACCCGCGGCCACCAGCGUCUUCGUCGACACUGCUGCCCCACACAGCAGGUGCGCCGGCAGUGGGUGUGCUGGCGUCCUCAGGGGCGAUUGCACCCUCUGCCCCGGCGCCGUCCGCCCUCGUCCUCACCCCGGAGCAGAUGACAGCCGCAAUCCUGGAAUUACGGCAGGCCGUGGCAGGCAUCAGGGCCUUCCUCGUCGGGCCCUAUGCACCCCAGUCGCAUCCCCAGUAGCCACCUCCUCCUCCGCCACACCAACAAUGGCUACCCCUGCCGCCGCCGCCCUCAGCCACGACCACGGCGCCGGUCAUCUCAUACCAGUAUGGGAUGCCCUACGACGGGACUGUGACGACCUUGUUCCCAUCUGCGUCGUCGCCAUCCCAGGGCGUCCCCAUCUAGCAGAUCAAGUUCCCGCCGUCGCUGUCACCGCUUACGACUUGGAUCGCUACCCGUCAUGUGUCGGAGGCGGUGAGGCUGCAGGCUGCUGCUCGCGGCCUCCUAGCGCAUCGGCGUGUGGGGGAGAUGCGUGGUCUGCAGCUGCAGCUCCUCCAAGUUGCGCUUCGCUUCGCAAAGGACCUCGAUCUCGUCCGCUGCGUCGGGGAUCUUGGGCAUGCGGUUUCCCCCAUGGGCGGCGGGCAUGCUGUUUUCCCCGCGGGCAGCGACCUCAACGCCUGCAACAUUGGCGGUUGGGGAGGCGCACCCCUCCUUGUCAUUCUCCAUCGAAAGCCCUCCACUCUUCUCUGUGCGGUGCAGACCAACAUCCGCCCGGCGGGGAGAAGGCAUGGUGUCACCGACAGGAGCGCACCGCGUAGCACCACUGCAUUCCGCUGCCGGCCGCCGCGAGGGCGCCUCUGCUGGUCGCUCUUGCGACCACUUCUAGGUGACCAUACACAUGCACUCCUUUUGUCCAGAUGAUGUCCAUGGGAUCCAGGUGGCUGUACACGUGCACGUCCGACAUGCGGAUGGUGUCCACUUUAUGUUGAUGGGUCCAAAAUAAAGUGUCCCGGUCAAUUUCAGGUUGAGAGUAAUAAAACAAGCCAAGAUGUAAAAUGCUUGUUUUUAGGUGUUAGGUUUGUGUUGCGUCGAGUCAUGGUUAUCAGUUGGUUAGGUUGCAGCUCGAGGACAAGCUGCAUGUCCAGGUGGGGUGUAGUGUUAGAGUACUUAAUGGCCUAAUGGGCCUGGACUGGCGGUAUAGCCCCUUAGUCUUAGGGUUAAUAAGAGAUAAGGGUUGCUUGCUUGGAAGUCAAGUAAACCUCUCUAUAUAAGGAGAGGAGAUGUAUCAAUCUAACCAAGUAAGAAGAAAUCAUAUUUGCUCGGCUUCCUUAGGGAGCCGGGAGACCUAACCCUAAACCUCUCUAUCGCGCGCGCGCACGCAACUAUGGCGCCCCGGCACCCCAGCGCCCGCGACCACACCACCCCUCCUUCCACCCCUACAACCUGAGAGCACACUCUGGUAUGGAUCUGGUUCAUACCAAAGCUGCUAAUGCACAACGAAUUAUAUCAGUUCUAUUAUCACUGUGUUUUAAAGUUGUUAAGAGUGAGGAAAUAUGCAGCUUGUAUUUACAAUAGGCCAUAGUCAUAGCAGAGUGCAUUUUCUACCAUGCACGGUAUAUACCGUGCAUUGAUCUGCCGCUUAAUUAUUUUAGGGUCCUAAAGAAAUCACAAGUACUAACCUGCUGUACGUCUCAUUUUUCUCCACCUUUCUGUCACAUUGUUAGUUUGUGUGUGUCAGCCUUUUUUAAAUAGUGUCCUUCCAUUUGAAUGCCUCCCCCCUCGUUGCAACUCUAUCCCAGAAAUAUAUUUUCUCUUUCUAUUUAAUGAUUUAGAUGCUUGAUAUCUUCUCAAAUAAAAGUUUGUGUUAUAUUCUAUUUGGGCAAAUGUGUUUAUACCGACGAGAUAUUUUAAACAAGACCUACAGAAAAUUGAUCUAUAGAAAACUCAACGACAUACAGUAGUGUUUUUUACAGUUUCGUAAGGUCUCUCCACGUUUCAUAUUUGAAUUUUAUAAUUUGUGAGAAUAUAUUCAAGCGUGAUCUUAUUUCAGUGUUCUCUUCACAAGGAAUAUAAAUAUGCAAAUGUAUCAUAAAUCAAACUUACGGUUCAAAAGAUAAAAUAAGCUUAACUUUUAGAAUCAUAUGAAAAAAAAACUGAGUGAGUGUAGUACUACUCUCUCUACUUUUGUGAGUGAGAGGAGAGAUAUUGCAGGUAAUAACUACGGGGACAAGUUGUCAGAAGAAAUAGUGACUGAUUGAUAUGACAUAAAUUAAUAGAACAAGGGGUCAUAAACUGAGGUUAACUAAGCAACACAACGACCAGAUGUAUUCAUGGAUCCAAAUGUCAAUGAUAACCAGUGGCUGAUACAUGCAUAGUAUAUACCAUGCAUCGGAGAAUGUCUUUUCUCAUAGUCAUAGCGUAAAUACAUACAUGUGUGUUAAAUAGGCAGAAAACCCCUUAUACAACAAGGAUAAUUGAAGGCGCAUCUAACUCUUUGGGCGAUCGAAUGUUCAUCCAUUCCCCAAGGUAAAUUUUGGUGACUAAUUUGAACAUAUCUCAAGAAACUAAUGCCUGCUACAAGAUUAUUUCAGGAAAGUUUGCAACAAAGGAAAUGGAAGGUGACCCCCACAAAUCAACAUGAUGACAAGUGUUAGUCAAGCUCAAGGAUUCACCAUUGUCAUUUUGAGUGAUCCAAGAUCACAUCCAGUUCUUAGGCAUGUCGAUACUAUCAAAAGGAGAUGAGGAUGCUAUAAUGAGUUUUUCUCGAGUGAUUGAAGAUCAAACUCCAUAAGUCCACAAAAGUCUUUCAUUUUUCCUCCACUAUGUGAUGUAGGGUGGAACCCUAAUGGUGUUGAUCUUUUACAAUUGGAGAGGAUCCCAUGAAGAACACGAAGAACAUGAGAGGGAAAAAUGAGAGGAAACACUCAAAUAGACAAGACACAAUCACACAUGUGCUAAAUCCACAUACACACAGAGAGAUUUGCGAUCCAAAGUCAACAAGGAAGGAUACCCGGUAGCUAGUUCAUCCCAAUCCGUGAGGAUGCGGGGUCUUGAAUCCGUAGAGGAUUUUCCCUAGAAGGGGUCUUGAAUCCAUUUGGGGGAUCUUCUCCUAGGAGGUCUUAAACUCCAAGGAGUAGGGGUAAGUGGAUGAGCAAAGCUCUAUCUCCACUGAGCUAAUCCUUUGCUAACCCUAGAUGGAGGAGGGAGAGGUCUAUAUACAGUGCUAGUACAAGUUGAGGCGAGUUGGAGGGAUACAUGGGCCAGAGGCCCGUUAUACUGUGCGCAGACAAGGGCCAGAUGUCCGGGGCAGCUAUGGGUUUUCGGUACUGUAGUCUUCAGCCGGAUUUCCAGGCAGGGGCAGGAUGUCCGGGGUCAUCGGGCCGGAUGUCCGGUGCCUGUGGGUGCUUGGUGUCUGGGCUGCUGUUGUGUUUUAUAUCUUCAGGGGCCGAAUGUCCGGGUCCUGUAACCUUUCUCCCGUUCCUCUUGUCGUGCUCCUUCAUCCAUGUGCUUGGGGACUUAUCCGUCAUCACGAGCAUCUCGGAGAGGGUCUUCUCCAUACCUAAUCACACAUAGCAUUCCGGCUUUAGUAGUAGCCAUGUCUCACAUGGGUCAUACGAAAUAUCACUAAGGAGAUAUGUCACCUCGGUCUCGAGAGCUCUUGCACGUGCUCGUGUCAUCGGUCCACUUGGCACUUGGGGAUACAUAGGUAGGUCCAUAGGGAUGACCGUAGGAUUACUUAUCUUCCAUAUACAUCAGAGCUUCUGAGCUCUGCAGGUCGAAUUUGCUGAACAAUGUACCAGGUAUAGCCAUUGCAAAACCCUAGCCAUUCAGAGCUGCCAUCCAUUCCAUUUGGAACCACAGAAGCAUUUGUUAAACCUUCUGUUAUCCGAUCGAAAUUCGGGAGCAAUCCAGUCGGAAUUUCUGAAGUGGUUACAGGGAGUGUGCCACUACCCAAGUGUGUGUUUUGGAGACUCCCAUUGACUUCAUUCCAGACUGACCGAGUGAUUUUGAUAGUGGCCUCCUUUAUUUACGUCAGAGCCUCAGAGCUAAACACUCUACAACUUACAAGUUGUGCAAUAUUGUUGGUAACAGUCAGAUUUCUGGUCCAGCCUAUUUAUACCCACCUAUCCCAUCAGUCCACAUGAAGCAAACUCCCCUCCUAUCAUAUGUUUUGAGAUAGAACACCACCUCCUUGUCCUAAUUUUAAAGGGUUUUCUACUUCCAUGUCCAAUCCUUUGGAUCUAGUCCCCUCUUUGCUUCCACUCCUACUUCUCAAAUGCAAAGCCAAAUCUUGUCAAAGUUAGAGUGCAAGAGGAGAUUAUGUUUUGAAGCACAGGAGUAAGAGAUUCAUCUGAGCUACCUCAUCUUAUUACUUUUGGAGGGUGCGCGUCUCCUAGAUUGGCUAACUGCGCUUAGAAGUCUUCAACUAUUGUGAAGAGCCCAAGAAGUUUGUAAGGGCUUGGAGAUCGUCUACUUCAUGAAGAUCUACCAUAGUGAGGCUAGUCCUCCAUGGCAGUACACCAUGAUGGGAUAGGUUGGUUGCUUCUUCGUGGACCCUUCAUGGGUAAGCGUGCUUAGUGGACCUUGUUCCUUCGUGGAAUCUUGCAACCGGGAUUAUUGUGAUCUUAGAUCCUCCAUGGAUCAAAGCCUCCAUCAAUGUGGAUGUAAGAUAGUGCCAACUAUCCAAAACACAGAAAAAAACUUCACCGAGCCAACCCAUGUUUGCGUAUCUCUAAUUAUACCUCUUACAUGAACUUGCAUGUCCUCACUUUCUGUUGUCUCUAUACUCUAGUAGACUUGCAUAUCUUUACUUUCUGUUGUCUAUACUCUCUAGUAGACUUUCAUGUGUAGGGUGAUACAUAGAACUACUCUAGGAAAGCUUAAAAUUUCCAAGGAACCCCCCUCUAGACAUAAUCCAUCCUACAAUAAUAUACAACUAAUACACGGAAACUAUAUAUAACUCAACCCCCUCAAACUGAUGAAAAUUUAACAACAUUUAAUUUGGAGAGGAAGAAGUUGUGUUGCACUCUAGUAUGGGCCUUUGUCUAGAAAUUUACUAACUGUAACUUGGAAGGCAAAUAUUGUAGACUGUACAUCAAUCACAUGAUCUGAUACUUGGGACCGCAUGAUGCAACAUCGACACCAAUGUGCUUGGUUAGCUCAUGCUUCACAAGGUCAUGUGCAAUAAUGGUAGCACAAUAUGUCUAAUAAAAGAUGAGUUCAUGUAGAGAUAGAAACAAAAAAAAUCUUAAAGCAACCACCAUAGCCAGCGAGAAGAGUUGUAGUUUGCUCGCAACUCAUUUACUACACUCGAAUGCAAAAUUGCGAUCUAUUUCUUCAUCUUGCAGGCAAUGAGAGGACUGUCAAGAAAAAACACAAUAAGCAGAAAGCAAUCGAAAAUCUCAAGGAGCGCCGAUAGAAAAGAUGGGGACAAAUAGUCCCACGAAGAUGUCACAAAACCCAAGGGGGUGACUGUGUCUAACCAGAAUGAGAGUAGGUAUGACCUCACUUGAAAUGUGAAAUAGAUAGAGGUAUCCUGACGAGUGACAACUACUUAGAAAGAGGCCCGCCAUUAAAAUCUUAAGACUGGACAUUGAGCUCCCUCGGGGUCUUAACAUGGAUGUACUUGUGAGAGAAAAAGUCAUCUAAGGUAGACGAGACCUCAGUCCCAAGGUUGUAGCAUAGAGUACCAAGAUCAGACAUAAGAAACCGCUCGUUAAGAUGGGCCUUUGUAUUCAGAGUCAUCCUUAGUGAUGAACAUGGCAUCAAGAUAUAGAUGUUAGAUACGUGGCUCUCUACGGCAUGAGGAAUAAAGCAAGGGCGGAUUAAAAGAAUAGUUCUUCCAUGCCUCCAGGGCGAGUGCUUCUCCCUAACCAUAGUACACAACAUAGAAGAAGAGUUCGACCUCGAGAUGGAAGGAGGACAAGGAGGUGGCAUUAUCAUUGUUUGCUCAUUGGAAAGCUAGCAAAGGUGAAACACUCAAACCAGGCAUGUGGGGCUUGCUUAAGGCCAUAAAGAGAGCUUUGAAGAUGAUAGGCCAUGCCCUGCAUAUAUACCCAGAAAGGUGGGUGCAUGUAGACCUCCUCAUGCUACCAACCAUUAAGAAAGGCGUUCUUGAAAUCAAGCUAGUAGACAUAGUAAUAGUGAAUAGAAACCAGGAAAGANNNNNNNNNNNNNNNNNNNNNNNNNNNNNNNNNNNNNNNNNNNNNNNNNNNNNNNNNNNNNNNNNNNNNNNNNNNNNNNNNNNNNNNNNNNNNNNNNNNNNNNNNNNNNNNNNNNNNNNNNNNNNNNNNNNNNNNNNNNNNNNNNNNNNNNNNNNNNNNNNNNNNNNNNNNNNNNNNNNNNNNNNNNNNNNNNNNNNNNNNNNNNNNNNNNNNNNNNNNNNNNNNNNNNNNNNNNNNNNNNNNNNNNNNNNNNNNNNNNNNNNNNNNNNNNNNNNNNNNNNNNNNNNNNNNNNNNNNNNNNNNNNNNNNNNNNNNNNNNNNNNNNNNNNNNNNGGGGGAGGGGGGAGUUUCAUCGUAGUCGCGGACAUGAUCCUUCUAAAAGCCACAUGCCACAAGACGAGCCUUGUGACCCUUAAGGGAAAUAUUGGAGUUGGUGUUUACCUUGUAGAUACAAUUGGAUACGGACACAUAGAGGAAGAGCGACAAGAUCUCGCAUGCCAUUGUGCUCAAUGGCACCAAGCUCCCCUGCAUUACAUAUGUUGCCAUUUUAGAUGAACAAGAAAGUCUCAAUAAGAACUUGGCUUGCUAAUAGCGACACUACGCAUCGUUAGCACCUCGGUUUGGGCUAAGUUCAGCCUCAGGAACUCGUCGAAGACCCCUUGCUGGAAGGCCUGGAUGGCCUAGGCUUGGAUAUGUUCUCGAUGGAGUUUAGGAGCCAAUUCUAACAAUUGAUGUAUUCACAGAUCGACUUGUCAUUCUUUGGGACGCAAUUCCAGAGGUUAUGCGCGAUGGCAGGCCUCGUGUAGGUGCACUCAAAGUUCUUUAUGAAGGCAUUGCGCAGGACAUCCCAAACGCAUAUGUUGUCCUCGCGGAUGCUGUUAAAGCCACGCCCUUGUGGAACUCCCCAACAUCAAUGGGAGAUAACGCAGAGCAACAUGCUCGUUGCCCCCGCCGCUAAUGCAAGCAAUCAUGUAGUCAGCCAGUCAAGUUUUGGGCUUGACAAUACCUUGUACUCCCUCUGUAAACUAAUAUAAGAGUAUUUAGAUAACUAAAAUAGUGAUCUAAACGCUCUUAUAUUAGUUUACAGAGGAAGUACUUUUUAAUUCCAUUGGCGGUCCGAAGCCGCUAUGGAAAGGGCACAAUCUGUAUGUGCCGACUGAAGCACAAAGGACCCUGUGACCGUGAGCCAAAUGGCCGACCGAACUCGUCACGAUGCUCGGUGUGCCGCCUAGCUGCUCGAACGGCCUCAAUAUCGCUUCGUGUGUCGUGGCGUCCUUCUCUCCUGUUGGGAGGAGAGAAAGAUCGACGUUGCUCUAUGUGGAUUCGCUUGAUGUCUUCACGCACACCCACCGAUUUGGGCGGUGACAGUGAUGCACCAAAGGUUGGCACUGUAGGACUUGGAGACAAGAUGGCCACAUUCUUUUGUUCUACCACUGUUUUGAACAGUGUGGUGAGUCAGUGAUGAUGUCUCACCUCGGGCACAUUAGUAGGCGAAAGGAGAACUUCAGCGAGAGCCAUGGAAAGCAAGAGGUUCCUGGCAGGAGUGCGGUGGAAGCGACGCCCUCCGAUGUUCGUGUUGUCUGGGAAUCACACGCACCGCGUUCUCUUUGCACAAUUAAAGUGGACUGCUGGGGGUGACAACGUGCCUCGUUCUCCUGCGGGGACUAGAACUCAUGCUCUCGCACCUCAAGUACCGUUCUCUCCUCCGCGAGGCGCUCCUGCUUAGUGAGAACAUCCACAUGAGUAGUCUCAACUCUCAAGGGCUCUCUCAGUAGGCAUGUUGUCCAUCCAUGGCAUGUCCAAGAGUGCAUCAACAAUUUGUUGGGCUGUCGUAUCGGCCAGAAUUGCGCCAUUGUUGGCCAUGUACACCUUUGUCAUGGGGGCAGAAGUGGACGAACUCUCAUACCCGCCGGACUCGAAAACCCAAUGCAGGCAAGAUGGAGUCAAAAGUGACCGUACCAACAAGCCAGGAAGCCACAUUACCGGUGCGCGUCAUUGGUGAAGAUCUUAGGGAUCACUUGAGACCUGGCACCCUCAGUCGGGGAUGGACCUAUGGCUAGAGUCACAUGAUGCUGACUCGACUAGCGACGAAGUCCACACUCCCGGCAGCGAUCAACAUGCUCUGACAGAAUGCGGCGCAGGCAGGAUGUCAUGACGCAUAAUUGGUGAUAAAGUGCAAGAUGAAAACACACACGAGCUACUCGGGACUGAACCCACCAACGAUUGUUGUAGAGGAUCCCGCUUGGAUCGCAACUCUAACGUGCGGAUGCUCCCAUGGUGGCUGCCAACUGUCUUGGGGAUUACGCCUCAAUACUCUUGAUUUGGGGGAUUUGUAUGGGCAAGGCGCACGUGGAAGAUCUAGGUACGGGAUUUCAUACGGUUGAAGCUUUACCUAGGUUCUGCCCCCUAUUGUAGGUGUAACACCCUACUUCUGCUUGGAUGUUCCAUCUCUUGUAUGAACCGAGUGAUUACAACUAUUUUGGUCUAUGUCAAAUCUUGUCUAAGAUCUCCUGCCAUACUCACCUUAUAUACUGCGAUGAGGAUGUGGAGUUACCAGGGUUGUUAUGAACCACGAUGUAAUAAUAGCCAUGAUGAUGACGGUUACAAAUGCAAUUAACCCCAACGCCAUAAUGUUGUCGUAAUAGCGUAGCUGGUAACAUCUGCCUUGAUUGACUAUGUAUGGUCUAGUCGGAUGGACAUGAGGGUAUUUAGCUUGAUGGGCUCCGAGAUGUUCAAUCAGAUGGGCUUGCUAAUAUCGGCCCGCCCGAGUGAUUCUUCUACUGAAGACUCGGGUCGUUUGGCUGCUAGGCUUAAUCCUUGUCAUGGGCCUACACCAGGAGGGAUCCCACUGUCAAGAUCCAAUCUGGACAUCCUGUAGAUUCUCAAAAAAAAAAAAAAACUGGACAUCCUGUGUAGAUCAUCCAACUCCAACUCCGGCAACUCGACUUGCGACUCACAGGAUGCACCAUUGUGCACCCCACUGUAAUGUGUCUUGGAUAUAAUCCCAUAUAAGGAGUAGGUUCUUACUCACCAUGUGAAGGCCCAAACCAGGGUAUAACUUGUGUCGUGUGUCCACCUGGUAUCUGAGAUUAUGACUCACUGUCACAUAUAUCCACGUAUGUUAAUAGUAUUGUUGUUAGGUACAUUGUGAAUCACUAUCGAUAGACAUCAAUCCGUGAUUUGGGUUUCCGUUUCCACUAACCUCCCAACUAUUUUACUGCGACUAUUAGACAACAGAGCCCUAGACAUUUACGGAAAUUUCUUGGGUGGUUUUGCAUGCAAACCUGAAUGAACAGGUGGUAAUCUCCUAAAAAACAUGGUUUUGAUCCACUGACUCAAGCUAGUAUAUAUCUAAGCAUGGUUAAAUAAUGAUGUCUCUAAAUUUGCUUUUGUUGUAAACGUGCAUCUAAUUGAACCCAAUGCCGAUAUCUAAAAUGAUGUACCUAACAUUGCCACACAUCUAGAUAGUGUACGAUAUACACCGCUCGAUAUGAGUGGUUAGCUAUAUAAGAAACAAUAGGGUUUGUCUAGGGUGCAUCUAGAUGUGAAAUAAUUAUGUCACAUCUAAGGUGACAUUAUCUUUUUGUUGGGUCAGGUCUUUAAUGAGUUGCGUUGAGUUGACAAAAUGGCCCAUGUAAAAAAACCUGUUGGGACUGGCUAUUUCCUGAGCAAUGGACGGAACACGAAGGCACUUGAUUUGAGCCUGCUCAGAAACACGAAUCUUGAUGCGUGAAUAUCUGAUGGCUUAGAACAGAUGAGAGUUUUGUUAGUUCUGUUCUAGAUGAAAAUUAGCUAAUCCAAAAAUAAUAUACUUAACUCUAGACCACUCUCCUCUAACUACACCAUAAGACCCAAACAAACAAAGGAAAGGAAAACGACAUGUGACCCUCAACCGAAAGCUACAGCCCUGUAUCAAUAAGCUAGUGAAAAGGCCCAACAACAAAAAAUGGCCCACUUAAAAAGCCCUGUUGGGACUGGCUAUUUCCUGAGCAAGAAUGCUACACCCACGUAAUUUUUACUAAAAGCUACUAAACCUUCCAUUCCUAACUAAUACAACUCCCCCUGAUUUUCAAGGAGUGGGCCCGCCUCACUUUUCUUAACCAGUAAAAUCGUUGCGGCUAAGAUCCUUCGUAAGGUACGUAAAAUAUAUUUUACGUAGGUGUAGCGUUGUCCAUUUCUUGAGCAACGGAUGGAACACGAAGACAACUGAUGUGAGCCUGCUUGGAAACACGAACCUUGAUGCGUGAAUAUAUGACGACUUAGAAUUUAGAUGAGACUUUGUUAAGAUAUACUAACUCCUCGAUGGAUGGGAUCUACAAGUGGAUCUAACCUUUCAAUAUGAUCUUUCCUGACUGCAUUGCUAAUAUGCCGAAUGCCGCACACCAGACAGUAGUAGCCGAGGCUGCAUCGGAGCUCUACAGCCUGCAACAUGCCAGCUUUGUCGAUCUUUGCCAUGCUCCAGCUCUGGUCAACGCCUUAUUGAAGUUCCGGGGUGCGCACCCGUGCAUGGAUUGCUGCUUCCCCGAUUGUCCACCUCUUUCGGCCACCGGGUUGGUCCUGGAUUUGGGCAUUGGGCUUUCUUUGUUCUCCAAGGGGAGACCAGAACCAGUAUUGAUUUGGGAUCUGAUUUUCGUUCUUGAUGGGGCCGCCUCGAUCUGGUUGGAACAUGCUUUUGUUAUUUAUUUCUCUUGGAGCAUGUCGCGAUGUCGGCUUGGGGGCGGCGAGGAGAUGGCGGCAGAGAUGUGGGCUACCUCACUUAGCGGGGAGGAAAACGUCUUCUCCCUCUGCCGUGUGCGUACGUUUCUCGGAUGUGUCAACUGUUGCUGAUCACAGAAGUUACAUCUGUUCGUCUGGGAGAGAAUUGCUUUGCCAUUUUCCUAUAACAAACUCGGCUGAAUUUGUACACAGGACAUGUAGAAGCUCUGUAUGAUCGAAUACCGAAUCGCCCUGUAGAGCACUAGAUCCGCACUAAAUACUACGUAGUACAUCUCUAGAAGCACUAGAUCUGCAUUAGCUCUGUAUGAAUUUCCCAUUUUCCAACAACUAAAUAGUACACAUAAUUUGCACACAUAACAAUUGAGGAUUAACAUCAUUCCAGGUGAAUAAGACUUGAUUGAGUGAUUGGAUUGUACAAUAAUUAUGCUAAGCUGGAUAUAUGUACCUGCUUCUGUCUACAUGUGUGACGGAUAAUCUGGCGUCCAAUUAGGAACUCGGAACUAUAGUCGUCGUGAAGACCUCCAAGCUGAAACAAAACCCCGCGAAGCACAAUGCAAACAAGACUAAGCACGGAAUCCAUUUACACAAAGCGAAGAAAGAAUUAUGGGCAGCUUGGUGGGUAACAAUACCUCCAAUAAAUCGCGCGACGAGACCAAAUUAUGAAACUGUUCCCAUCCUUUUUGCGCGUCUGUUGAACUAUGGCUGGUUAAGACUUGGGAACUCGCCUUCUCACAUCGUUUCGUGGGGCUGCAGGCCACUAAAGAACAUAAUUAAUCAUUUGUUAUUAUUGAAUGGUAGAUGCUUCGUUGGUUCCUUUCCUCCAACUGGCAAGAGCUGACCACCCACAAUCAUUGGGUUUAAGUUCUUAAGAUAACUAGUAUUUCAAUCGUGUGUCAGACCAAGCAUAUUACAUAACAACAACUGGCAAGAGCUGACCAUCCACAAUUAUUGGGUUUAAGUCUUUAAGAUAAUUAUCAUGUGUCAGACCAUGUUACUACAUAACAACAACGACCAUUCAGAGUCAAUUAAACAAAUGUUUAAUGUCAAGUGUCUUUCUGACCUCAGUGCAGAUGCAAUGGAUGCUCUAUUUUCUAUGUUAACAAUAAUACAGUUCCCAAGUGAUGCAGUGAGGCAAAGAUGAUUAUGGUAGAUCUGGAAUCAGAUUAUACAGAUAGAUGCAUGAAUCAAUGGCUGCAUCCUAUACAGAGAUGACUAUGCUGGGCGUCCAUCUGAACCCAAUGCCAAUAUCUAAAAUGAUGCAUCUAACGUUGCCACACCAUCUAAAAGUUAGCUAUAUAUGAAACAAUGGACAAAAGAUACUAUAUGGUAUAGAAACUCCAGUGCAUUGUAACUACAAGUGGAUCUAACCUUUCAGUAGGAAAUUUUCGUGGCUCACGCAGCACAACUUGUUCCACACCGAGAUAAGCGUUGCUUGGAAUCACCAAAAUGCCAACCUGACAGGAUCACAACACGAUCAACACAUAAUUCACUCGAACUAGCUCGAUUUACUCAUGGAUACUCGCUUAAGUUUAGAUACAGUCGAGGAUCAAAAUCAACCAAUUCUAGCAAGUAGUUCUACGGUUCUGUGCUAGAGCUAGCUUUUACAACUUGGAGAAAGAAAGGGUAAGGUAGCGAUCGGCGGAUCAUGGGGAUGGUUUAAUAGCGAGGGAGGAAAACGAAUCACGCUGUAGCUACCAGGGAGACGACGACAUCGGCGUGAAAUGAAUAGAAGAGCUCUCAAGAGUUUCUGGCCGUUGAUCUUCACUUGAUACAACUAAUCCUGAGCGUCCAUCCACGCGUCAUACUCCUGUGCUUCUUCUUCAGUUUCGACAGUGUUCAUUUCUUCAGAGAAGUACAUGUUCAGAUAACAGGGUCCUCACUCGCCCAUCGGACAGCUCUAGCCGAGGCUGGAUCGAAGCUUUGCUACUCCGGUCAAUGACAUAUCGAAGUUCUGGGGCGCGCAUCCUUGCAUGGCAUGCCGCUUCCCCGAUUGGCCACCUCCUGAGGCCGCCGGGUUGGUCCUAGAUUUGGUCAUUGGGUUUUGUUUGUUCUCCAGAGGCGACCGGAACCAGUAUUGAUUGGGGAUCUGGUUCUCUUUGUUCUCAAUGGGGCCGAUUGGAUCUGGUUGGGACAUGCCUCUGCUAUUUCUUCACGUGGAGAAUGCGGCGACGUCGGCUUGGGGAGAGAUGGCUAUGAGGAGACGGAGAUGUGGGCUAGCAUAGCACACGGAGCGAGGAAAACGUCGGCCGCGGGGUGGUGGGGCAGGAUCGUAUUCGACUAAUCUUCUCCUUUUCCAUGUGCGCUGAUGUUACGUCUGGCCGUAUGUGAUAGAACUGCUUUGGAUCUUGCUAGGUGAUCCCUUUUUCCUAUAACAAACUCUGACUAAAUAUGCAUACAGAACUUGCAGAAGCUCGGUACAAAUACCGAAUCGCCCCGCAGAGCACUAGAUCUGCACAAAAUAGUACUAGUACUAUGUACUACUACAUCUCUAGAACAACAGAAAGAAACAAGAUUCGAACUCUUGUGGUUAAGACUCGAUCGAGCGAUUCCGGUGUACAAUAAUUAUGCUAAGCUGGAUAUAUAUACCUGCUGCUGUCUACCAGUUUGGCGGAUAAUCUGGCGUCCAAGCAGGAACUGAGCAGAACUCAACCCGUCACUAACCUGAACGAAAACCCCACGAAAAGCAAUGCAAACAAGACUAAGCAGGAAGCUCAUUUGCAGGAAGCAAAGAAAGAAAUAUGAACAGCUUGCUGGGUAGCGAUACCUCCAAUAAUUCGCGCGCGAUGAGACCAAAUUACUGAACCACCAUUCCCAUCCUUCUUGCUCGUCUCUGGAACUAUGGCUGGUUAAGACUUGGGAACUCAGC